AGAGAUGGUGCAGAGGCUAAGGAUGGAGGCAGUGCAGCAUAGCACGUCCACCGCGGCCCAUACAUCGCAGAAGGUUCGGCCGAAGGCCCAGAAGCCUAGAACCUCCAUAGUGGCCGAGAAGGGCAACACAGCUGCACUCAGUAGUAGGGCAACUGGCCAGCCCAAGAUUUCAAAACCCACUAUGGUACGAUGGUGGCAUUGAGACAGCCCUGAAGGGGUCAAGGUGCUUGGGGAUGGGCGUGACUGGCGUGAGACCAGAUGGUGUGGCCACAGCCCUAGGACCUUGCCCACACUCUGAAUAAUACCAACUUUGGCCCUGCAACUUUACUCUGCAUCAGAAGUCGGAAUAAAUCUUCCUGUUGCUACUCG
This 369-nucleotide long non-coding RNA is filed under the name Mus pahari (shrew mouse). Its description in RNAcentral is "lncRNA (MGP_PahariEiJ_G0003354.1)". The record is from RNAcentral. Lineage: Eukaryota; Metazoa; Chordata; Mammalia; Rodentia; Muridae.